This 460-nucleotide ribosomal RNA is filed under the name uncultured bacterium. RNAcentral describes it as "partial 16S ribosomal RNA". It matches the Rfam family "Bacterial small subunit ribosomal RNA", at positions 338 to 795 of the family's 1533-position model. The record is from RNAcentral.
CCUACGGGAGGCAGCAGUGGGGAAUAUUGCACAAUGGACGAGAGUCUGAACCAGCCAAGUAGCGUGAAGGAUGACUGCCCUAUGGGUUGUAAACUUCUUUUAUAUGGGAAUAAAAUGUUCCACGUGUGGGAUUUUGUAUGUACCAUAUGAAUAAGGAUCGGCUAACUCCGUGCCAGCAGCCGCGGUAAUACGGAGGAUCCGAGCGUUAUCCGGAUUUAUUGGGUUUAAAGGGAGCGUAGGUGGAUUGUUAAGUCAGUUGUGAAAGUUUGCGGCUCAACCGUAAAAUUGCAGUUGAAACUGGCAGUCUUGAGUACAGUAGAGGUGGGCGGAAUUCGUGGUGUAGCGGUGAAAUGCUUAGAUAUCACGAAGAACUCCGAUUGCGAAGGCAGUUCACUGGACUGCAACUGACACUGAGGCUCGAAAGUGUGGGUAUCAAACAGGAUUAGAUACCCCAGUAGUC